This is a long non-coding RNA of Magallana angulata, 1102 nucleotides long. RefSeq lists it as uncharacterized. The record is from RefSeq and is a predicted model, not a curated record. NCBI's taxonomy places the organism in Eukaryota, Metazoa, Mollusca, Bivalvia, Ostreida, Ostreidae. The transcript has 4 exons.
CGCAGUCCAAAUGGAGAAGAUGGAGCAGACAGACGGAGGGUAUGUUCCUUACAGAGAAUACGGAUAAACUGCCCGGGGGACAAGGCUAACUAGACUGGGGGCCGGGGGACCGACACCCCAUCUAAGACAAAUUCAUUAGAUUGACAAUGACCGAGUAUGCUGAUAUAACACGGUGAGUCCGAUAUUGAUGCACUGCAAAGCUGUCCCAUCCAAUGUGUGGACGGACUCCCGAAUAACCAGCACCGGCACCGUGAAUUCCAUUUUUUGGCAAUAUGGCCCAUUGUUGCGUUCGUUCGGAAGCUCAACAAAGAUCAUUAAACUAACGAUCGGUGGGACUUUCGUUCGAUUGCAAUGAUCGGGCUCGACAUCCAUUCCAAACUGUGGAGGCCAAGAAAAACAUGAAUGCACUGACGCCAGGAAUAUCACAUCAUCUCCAGUGUACUAAUCGUUGUGAUGAUCUCAUGGUCGGCGAGAACAGGAAAGAGAGUAAAGAAAUGAUCUAUGUAUCAAUAGUUUUUAUAACUGAUUAAAAGUCACACCGUUAAAAAACACACAUUGCUAGUUAUUCAAGAUUAUUACUAAGAAAGUUUGUUUCUUCAAAGACCCAGAUUCACCAAAGGAUGGAGGCAAUAAGAGAUGCCGCCCCAGCGACGGCAGAAAUCGCCAUCUUGGUGCUAGCGGCGACCCCCAGUGCUCCAGCACGUUCGAAGAACGAAAUAAAAAAAUGUUCAAUCAAUUCUAAUAUGAGGUUCAUGUGCCAUAUCGCUCACAUAAAAAACUAUGUUCAACUGUCAUUUAAAGCAUGUACGGUACCAACAUCGGUAACAAUAACGUUGAACACGCAUAAAUAAGCACACUCUCUCUCUCUCUCUCUCUCUCUCUCUCUCUCUCUCUCUCUCUCUCUCUCUCCUUGUCUAAAAAACCCACCACAAAAUUAAUUCUUCAUACUAGCUUGUUUCCAACUACUAUGUGGCAAUCAGAUUUUCCAUACUGAUCACAGAAUCUUUUAAGACGUCUUAAUGCUCUUGAUGAUUCCUAUUACUAGUAAUACAGGUAUACUAAACUACGUUGUGGGCUUACAAUAUCCAUCUGUAAAAAAGUA